This 490-nucleotide ribosomal RNA is filed under the name uncultured bacterium. RNAcentral describes it as "partial 16S ribosomal RNA". It matches the Rfam family "Bacterial small subunit ribosomal RNA", at positions 30 to 507 of the family's 1533-position model. The record is from RNAcentral.
AUUGAACGCUGGCGGCAGGCCUAACACAUGCAAGUCGAACGGUAACGGGAAGAAGCUUGCUUCUUUGCUGACGAGUGGCGGACGGGUGAGUAAUGUCUGGGAAACUGCCUGAUGGAGGGGGAUAACUACUGGAAACGGUAGCUAAUACCGCAUAACGUCGCAAGACCAAAGAGGGGGACCUUCGGGCCUCUUGCCAUCGGAUGUGCCCAGAUGGGAUUAGCUAGUAGGUGGGGUAACGGCUCACCUAGGCGACGAUCCCUAGCUGGUCUGAGAGGAUGACCAGCCACACUGGAACUGGGACACGGUCCAGACUCCUACGGGAGGCAGCAGUGGGGAAUAUUGCACAAUGGGCGCAAGCCUGAUGCAGCCAUGCCGCGUGUAUGAAGAAGGCCUUCGGGUUGUAAAGUACUUUCAGCGGGGAGGAAGGGAGUAAAGUUAAUACCUUUGCUCAUUGACGUUACCCGCAGAAGAAGCACCGGCUAACUCCGUG